Molecule: long non-coding RNA, 349 nt
Filed under: Lactuca sativa (garden lettuce)
Lineage: Eukaryota; Viridiplantae; Streptophyta; Magnoliopsida; Asterales; Asteraceae
Description: long non-coding RNA (LSAT_LNC000685)
Source: RNAcentral
UUACAAAACAUUCGGGUCUUGGUAGAAGACUACAUAGUCAUAACAAAACAUUCGGGUCUUGGUAGAAGACUACAUAGUCAUAACAUAACAUUCGGGUCUUGGUAGAAGACUACCUAGUCAUAACAAAACAUUCGGGUCUUGGUAGAAGACUACAUCUCCAACUGAUAGAAAAUAAGGGAUUUUCUAGGGCUUUUCAUACUUACAUCAACAUUUUCAUUUAAAGGUUUACAUGGCCUUCAUAACAGAUUUUCUUAGGCAAGACAAUGACACUUAAUUACUUAUGAAUUCACCAGCUUUAAAGCUGAUACUCUCUUUCAAAAUAACUUGUAUUCUCAGGUCAACAGUAGAC